This 253-nucleotide ribosomal RNA is filed under the name uncultured bacterium. RNAcentral describes it as "partial 16S ribosomal RNA". It matches the Rfam family "Bacterial small subunit ribosomal RNA", at positions 524 to 776 of the family's 1533-position model. The record is from RNAcentral.
UACAGAGGGUGCAAGCGUUGUUCGGAAUUAUUGGGCGUAAAGCGCGUGUAGGCGGCUUUGCAAGUCGGGUGUGAAAGCCCUCAGCUCAACUGAGGAAGUGCGCCCGAAACUGCAGAGCUUGAGUGCCGGAGAGGGUGGCGGAAUUCCCCAAGUAGAGGUGAAAUUCGUAGAUAUGGGGAGGAACACCGGUGGCGAAGGCGGCCACCUGGACGAUAACUGACGCUGAGACGCGAAAGCGUGGGGAGCAAACAGG